AUUGAACGCUGGCGGCAUGCUUUACACAUGCAAGUCGGACGGCAGCGCGGGCUUCGGCCUGGCGGCGAGUGGCGAACGGGUGAGUAAUACAUCGGAACGUGCCCAGUAGUGGGGGAUAGCUCGGCGAAAGCCGGAUUAAUACCGCAUACGACCUGAGGGUGAAAGCGGGGGACUUUAGGGCCUCGCGCUAUUGAAGCGGCCGAUGGCAGAUUAGCUAGUUGGUGGGGUAAAGGCCUACCAAGGCGACGAUCUGUAGCUGGUCUGAGAGGACGACCAGCCACACUGGGACUGAGACACGGCCCAGACUCCUACGGGAGGCAGCAGUGGGGAAUUUUGGACAAUGGGCGCAAGCCUGAUCCAGCAAUGCCGCGUGUGUGAUGAAGGCCUUCGGGUUGUAAAGCACUUUUGGCAGGAACGAAAAGUGCCGUGCUAAUACCACGGUACGAUGACGGUACCUGCAGAAUAAGCACCGGCUAACUACGUG
RNAcentral lists this ribosomal RNA (484 nucleotides) under uncultured bacterium. RNAcentral describes it as "partial 16S ribosomal RNA". It matches the Rfam family "Bacterial small subunit ribosomal RNA", at positions 29 to 507 of the family's 1533-position model. The record is from RNAcentral.